CCUACGGGAGGCAGCAGUGGGGAAUAUUGGGCAAUGGGCGCAAGCCUGACCCAGCAACGCCGCGUGAAGGAAGAAGGCUUUCGGGUUGUAAACUUCUUUUCUCAGGGACGAAGCAAGUGACGGUACCUGAGGAAUAAGCCACGGCUAACUACGUGCCAGCAGCCGCGGUAAUACGUAGGUGGCAAGCGUUAUCCGGAUUUACUGGGUGUAAAGGGCGUGUAGGCGGGACUGCAAGUCAGAUGUGAAAACCACGGGCUCAACCUGUGGCCUGCAUUUGAAAAUGUAGUUCUUGAGUACUGGAGAGGCAGACGGAAUUCCUAGUGUAGCGGUGAAAUGCGGAGAUAUUAGGAGGAACACCAGUGGCGAAGGCGGUCUGCUGGACAGCAACUGACGCUCAUGCACGAAAGCGUGGGUAUCGAACAGGAUUAGAUACCCGUGUAGUC
This 443-nucleotide ribosomal RNA is filed under the name uncultured bacterium. RNAcentral describes it as "partial 16S ribosomal RNA". It matches the Rfam family "Bacterial small subunit ribosomal RNA", at positions 338 to 795 of the family's 1533-position model. The record is from RNAcentral.